GACGAACGCUGGCGGCGUGCCUAAUACAUGCAAGUCGAACGCUUCUUUCCUCCCGAGUGCUUGCACUCCAUUGGAAAGAGGAGUGGCGGACGGGUGAGUAACACGUGGGUAACCUACCCAUCAGAGGGGGAUAACACUUGGAAACAGGUGCUAAUACCGCAUAACAGUUUAUGCCGCAUGGCAUAAGAGUGAAAGGCGCUUUCGGGUGUCGUUGAUGGAUGGACCCGCGGUGCAUUAGCUAGUUGGUGAGGUAACGGCUCACCAAGGCCACGAUGCAUAGCCGACCUGAGAGGGUGAUCGGCCACACUGGGACUGAGACACGGCCCAGACUCCUACGGGAGGCAGCAGUAGGGAAUCUUCGGCAAUGGACGAAAGUCUGACCGAGCAACGCCGCGUGAGUGAAGAAGGUUUUCGGAUCGUAAAACUCUGUUGUUAGAGAAGAACAAGGACGUUAGUAACUGAACGUCCCCUGACGGUAUCUAACCAGAAAGCCACGGCUAACUACGUG
Molecule: ribosomal RNA, 508 nt
Filed under: uncultured bacterium
Lineage: Bacteria
Description: partial 16S ribosomal RNA
Rfam family: Bacterial small subunit ribosomal RNA
Source: RNAcentral